AUUGAACGCUGGCGGCAUGCCUUACACAUGCAAGUCGAACGGCAGCAUGGAGAGCUUGCUCUCUGAUGGCGAGUGGCGAACGGGUGAGUAAAGCAUCGGAACGUACCGUGUAGUGGGGGAUAACGUAGCGAAAGUUACGCUAAUACCGCAUACGCACUGAGGUGGAAAGCAGGGGAUCGUAAGACCUUGCGCUAUACGAGCGGCCGAUGUCGGAUUAGCUAGUUGGUAGGGUAAAGGCCUACCAAGGCGACGAUCCGUAGCGGGUCUGAGAGGAUGAUCCGCCACACUGGGACUGAGACACGGCCCAGACUUCUACGGGAGGCAGCAGUGGGGAAUUUUGGACAAUGGGGGCAACCCUGAUCCAGCCAUGCCGCGUGAGUGAAGAAGGCCUUCGGGUUGUAAAGCUCUUUCGGCCGGGAAGAAAUCGCACAGGCUAAUACCCUGUGUGGAUGACGGUACCGGCAUAAGAAGCACCGGCUAACUACGUGCCAGCCGCCGCCGUAA
Molecule: ribosomal RNA, 504 nt
Filed under: uncultured bacterium
Lineage: Bacteria
Description: partial 16S ribosomal RNA
Rfam family: Bacterial small subunit ribosomal RNA
Source: RNAcentral